Molecule: ribosomal RNA, 502 nt
Filed under: uncultured bacterium
Lineage: Bacteria
Description: partial 16S ribosomal RNA
Rfam family: Bacterial small subunit ribosomal RNA
Source: RNAcentral
AUUGAACGCUGGCGGCAUGCCUUACACAUGCAAGUCGAACGGCAGCACGGGAGCUUGCUCCUGGUGGCGAGUGGCGAACGGGUGAGUAAUGCAUCGGAACGUACCCGGAAGUGGGGGAUAACGUAGCGAAAGUUACGCUAAUACCGCAUAUUCUGUGAGCAGGAAAGAGGGGGAUCGCAAGACCUCCCGCUUUCGGAGCGGCCGAUGUCGGAUUAGCUAGUUGGUGGGGUAAAGGCCUACCAAGGCGACGAUCCGUAGCGGGUCUGAGAGGAUGAUCCGCCACACUGGAACUGAGACACGGUCCAGACUCCUACGGGAGGCAGCAGUGGGGAAUUUUGGACAAUGGGCGAAAGCCUGAUCCAGCCAUGCCGCGUGAGUGAAGAAGGCCUUCGGGUUGUAAAGCUCUUUCGGCUGAAAAGAAAUCGCACAGGCUAAUACCUUGUGUGGAUGACGGUAUCAGCAAAAGAAGCACCGGCUAACUACGUGCCAGCCGCCGCCGUAA